This is a non-coding RNA of Heterocephalus glaber (naked mole-rat), 4266 nucleotides long. Lineage: Eukaryota; Metazoa; Chordata; Mammalia; Rodentia; Bathyergidae. The record is from RefSeq and is a predicted model, not a curated record.
AAUUUAGUAAGAGACACACAGAAAAGCAUGAGUGUAGGGCAGUUUACUGUAGUGGCUGGUGCUGUAAUGGAAAUACAGCCCAGAGAUGUUAGAGAAACCAGGGGGAGGGCUGAGUCGGGGGUAGCUCAGUGGUAAAGUGCCUGCCCAGCAGGAGGGAGGCCCUGGGUUCAAUCCCCAGCACCCAGAGGAAAAGAAAAAGAAACCUUAGGGUGGGCUACUGGGGUAGUCAGGAAGGAGACUUCUGAACUGAGGUUGGACAGGAGGCGGAGGGGCCCUGAGGCUAGCGCGGUGCAGGUGGCAGGAACUGCCAAGCCAAAGGCUCUGUGGCGAGAACCCACAAGCUCACGUGUGUGGAGGUUUGAGCACAGGGGCUUCCAGGGCCUCGGAAAGCCCCAGCCUCUAGCGUCUGCGUCGCUGUCAUUGUACCUACACAGGCCCAGGCGGCUCCAAGGACCAACUCCCGGAAGGGCCUGGAGGAACGUGUAGAUUGCAAGCCCGCUGGAGCAGAUAAACUCCAGAGGCAGAAGUCGUGCAGGCCCAGGAGCCUGGCUGGGUAGCUCGUCAGCGGUUUGCAGGCUGUGUAGGAGCUCGCUCUUAGGAGAUUUCGGUCAAAGGAUGGCCUGGUUUGGUUCUGCGGGACCAGAAGGCCGGGAUGGGGAAAGAGGAUUCCAGAUUCUCCGGGAUUCUUCGAAUUCUCUGGCGGUGGGCUGGGCGGGAGGCCCGCGGACAGCCUGAGGUGGGGCCUGGGGUUCGACACCGCCCCUCCACCGACCAGCUCUGUGGCUGAGGCGGGUCCUCACGCCCCUGGGCCUCCGUUUUCCUCCCGCGUGGAUCCAGAGGUGGCUUCGCCGCUCCCACGGCCUGGCUCCUGGGAACAGUCACUGGCUGAGCUGUGUGGCCGGAGCAGAGGCCCCUGCCCCGCCCCAUGUUCUUGUGGGAGCCAUGAAGCUGAACAAGAGGAGCGUGGCCCACUAUGCACUGAGUGAUUCCCCAGCAGACCACAUGGGUUUCCUGCGCACGUGGGGGGGCCCAGGGGCCCCCCCUACUCCCAGCGGCACUGGCAGAAGAUGCUGGUUUGUCCUCAAAGGCAACCUGCUGUUUUCCUUCGAGAGUCGAGAGGGCCAGGCCCCACUGAGCCUGGUGGUGCUUGAGGGCUGCACAGUGGAGCUGGCUGAGGCUCCCGUGCCUGAGGAGUUCGCCUUUGCCAUCCACUUUGAUGCCCCUGGAGUGCGCCCGCACCUGCUGGCGGCAGAUGGGCAGGAAGCCCAGGAGGCCUGGGUGAAGGCACUAUCCCGGGCCAGCUUCAGCUACAUGCGCCUGGUGGUUCGAGAGCUGGAGAGCCAGCUGCAGGAUGCCCGCAGGAGCCUGGCCUUGCAUCGCUGCACAUCCCAGAAGGCCAGUGCCAGUUGCCGAAAGCCACAGGCACCUGACAGCAGAUCUCCAGGCCUGGAAAAUGGUCACUUUCUCCCCAGGGACUGCAGUCCCGUGGGCACAGUGGAAGGAGUAGGCUACAGGCCAGUAGGGUGGGAUUUGCCUGAGUGGGAGUUGCAGGGCCCCACUGGCCUCCUCCUAGGCAGGGGGCAGAGCCCUGUGUCCCCCGAGACCUCCUGCUUCUCUACCCUGCAUGACUGGUAUGGCCAGGAGAUCUUGAAGCUGAGGCAGGGGUGGCAGCAGAGGGCCCAGGGGAAGCAGCCAGGAUGCAAGCGCCAGGAUAAGCCCUGAGGCUGGGACCUGUGAGUUCUGGUUGUGUCCUGCUGGUCAGGACAACCCGGGGUCAGUGCUUCUUCAGAAGUUCAAUGUUUACUCAUUUGCAAGAUUGCUUUGCCACAGGUAGGGUGAGGACAGCUGCUCCCUCUUGCUCUUUAUAUCUUCUUGGGGUUCCAGUCCUCCCUUGUGCCUGGAAGGGACUGACAAACCAUGACUUCCAACCUGUUUGCUGAGGCCCAGAGAGGAAAGGUGGCCUGCAUAGGACUCUGCUGGACAUUAACAAAGUGAAGGAAGUGGGCUGCCCUACCUUUGACCUACACAGUGGAACCUAUGGCCAUAGUUUUCAACACAGGGAGUCUUACAUGCAUUUAAAUUACCAGAGGCUGGCUGCAGAUUAUCUGAGAAAGUGGAUUUAUGUGUCAUAGAAAUUCCUGGGCCCAGCUCCUCCUGGAGGUUACAAAGAGUGAGCAUAGACAACCCCCCCCCCUCUACUUUGGGUGGAGCCCUUUGAAGGAGAGGGCCUCCUGCCUAUAAAAGGGAAUUUCUCCUACUCUCCCUGGAUGCCCUGACAGUAGAUGGUGCAGGACUUUGCCCCAGGAGGGGCUGUUAGCUUUUUUAAGUAAGCAGAAACGCUUCCCAUCAUCUGUCCUCAGCUUCCACCUCUUGUCCCUGCCAAGCUGAAAGUUGGGGAGGUGGGGAGGUAGAGAGGUUGGGUGGCUCCCGGGAGAAAGGAAGCUUGUUUCUUUGGUUCUGGAAAUUCUAGAAGCUUGGACACAAGAUUCCCAGUAUUAUAUGGUAAACUCUUCUCUCCCAGUUGGGCUCCCAUAAAAGUGUUUUUACUCCCGAAAUUGCAGGCGAAACCAACCACCUGGGAACUCUGUCCCAGUCUUGCUUCUCACUAGGGUUUACCUGUCGAAAACCCUCACUGCUACUCCCUAGCACUGUGCCAUGUUUUCUCUUCCUAUGGUUUUUUUUUUUUUGGUACUGGGAAUCGAACUCGGGACUUUGCGCUUCCAAGGCAGGCGGCAGCACCAUUGAGCUAAAUAACCCUCUUCCUACAGUUUUGAGAGGCAAGCAGCUGGGGCCAACCUCUUGCUGUAUGGGUGUGCUAGUAGUGGCUGGUGGGAAGAUGGGGGGCCUGGUCAGACUUCCUCUUCCCCAAAACACAAAACCUGCCCUUUCCUAGCCUCCCCUUCCUUACUGGGGUCUUAGGCAACCAGACCAGGACCCAAGUAGCCUAAAGCUGAGGCUCAAGAGUGUCUUCUCAUUUCUAGGAGGCUGAGAAACUGCCCAGGGCCCUGUCUAGAUUCCUGUCCUACCCAACUUGUUUCUUUUCCCGUGUGGGACCCACAUAGCCCACUGCACUUUAUUUUAUACACAGAUACUGCAGGAUUUGUAAUCUUUCUUACCGUUACAGUGUUUUUUUUUACAUAUAUAUACAUAUAUAUAUACACACACACACAAUUAAAACACUAAAGUUUUAAAAAUUGUUAUUAGAUUCGUUUAUUACAAGCUCUGUUUAUCCAAAUGCAGAGGGCCACAGCUAUGGACACCAAUAUCUGAGGCUGGGAACUGAAUUAGUGCCGGAAAUCCGGGUUCUCGGUGGUCCUAACCUCCAACGGGGCCAUUCUUCUACUAGGCUUGUCAGACUUGUACAGGAGGCCUGCAGGCCGCUGCCCCGUGCACAGGGACUACAUGUAUAGGCCUUUGUUAACUUUUUUAUUGUUACAAUGUUUCUUAUACGAUUCAAACUCUAAAGUUUUGUCUUUAUUACUCAUUUCGGUUCCUUAAACUUAUUUCAACAGUAUGCUGUAGGUAGGGGUGGGAGGCUCAAAUGGGCGUCGGCGUCGCCCUCGUGACCCCAUCACGUGUCCCUCGACACGCCUCUUUCCCACUGCCACGGGAAGUGCGGACACUGCGCAAGUGUGAGGAUGGGGUUCUCGUGUGCUUGCACAACAUCGCGAGACUUGGGGUGGCGCCCUAAAGGACGGCGGCGCCAGGGGUGGGCGGCGAGGUGCGCGUUCCCGGGAGAGGGGCGGAGCUGGGAGAUGGCGUCCGGAGGGGCUCGCUGGCUGCUUUUGGCACCCCUCCGAUUCGGGGCCCUUCGUAGCGGGCCGAGGUUGAGGAAAGGUGGCGAUGUCCCCGCCGUACGGGACGGCUCAAGUCGCAGCCUGGUACCGUCGAGAUGUCCUUCGGUCUUCUCCGCGUGUUCUCCAUUGUGAUCCCCUUCCUCUAUGUCGGGACACUCAUUAGCAAGAAUUUUGCUGCUCUACUCGAGGAGCAUGACAUUUUUGUCCCAGAGGAUGAUGAUGAUGAUGACUAACAGGAUGAGAAGUAGAGGAGAAAGCAGCAGCUGUGAAAAUGACAAUGCUCUUGGCCACUCCUUCCCUUUCAGCUGAAGGGCUCUGGAAAGCCCUUAGCCCACCUCCUGCAUAGUCUGUGAUUGCAGCCCAGAUCCCCAGGCUCUGGAAGGUUCCCUAAGGUGUAUUGUCCACUGUGCACUGGGAGAAAAGUCAAAUUAUGAGUCACACAAUAAAUGUCAGCUAUAUGAGACUAAAA